CGUCGGGACCCACGCACGCUUCAAAAGCUGUCAGAGAGUGAGUCUGUGGCUAUUGUGCUUUCCGCCUUCCUGCCCUCUUCUAUCUCCCUACAAAAGGGCAGAGACUUGGACGAGGUAUGUUCUAGAAGGAGAUCCUAUCGUGUAUGACACGUACCCACUUGGAAGUCACUCUGCUGUAUGAUGUGAUUCAGCCAUGAAGGACAGUGCGGCUGUGUGACUCUGCUUACAGAAGGUGUCUCUGGCUGCCAAUCUUGGGAAAGCAGAAAAUAGAGUGGUGGCCACCAGAGGCUUUGGAAAAGAGAAGCGGGGACUUGCCAUCGGGUGUAAGGAUGUCUACAGCUGCAGAAGAUGUGAAAUGAGCUUCUCAGUCAAAACCCUAUGGAGGUCAAAGGAGGGUCUCCUGGAUACUCCUAACUAGAGCGACUUAAAGAUGGAGGAUGCUGUCAGCCUAUCUCCACUCCUACCCCCAGCCCCUGCCAGGGCCAGAUGGAGGGCAGUUUUAGGGGAAAUGCCUUGAAUUUUAUGUUUCAUUUCACUGGCUUCCAUACCUCACUGAGAAUGACUGAGUCUGAGCCUCCUCCAAAAGAUGAUCUACCCCUUGGGCACAAGGACUGGAAACAAACUUCUGCCACCAGAGGCUCCAGGCCAUGGAC
Long non-coding RNA from Apodemus sylvaticus (European woodmouse), 653 nucleotides. RefSeq lists it as uncharacterized. Lineage: Eukaryota; Metazoa; Chordata; Mammalia; Rodentia; Muridae. The transcript is spliced from 3 exons. The record is from RefSeq and is a predicted model, not a curated record.